UACGUAGGUGGCAAGCGUUGUCCGGAUUUACUGGGCGUAAAGGAUGCGUAGGCGGACAUUUAAGUCAGAUGUGAAAUACCCGAGCUCAACUUGGGUGCUGCAUUUGAAACUGGAUGUCUAGAGUGCAGGAGAGGUAAGUGGAAUUCCUAGUGUAGCGGUGAAAUGCGUAGAGAUUAGGAAGAACACCAGUGGCGAAGGCGACUUACUGGACUGUAACUGACGCUGAGGCAUGAAAGCGUGGGGAGCAAACAGG
This 253-nucleotide ribosomal RNA is filed under the name uncultured bacterium. RNAcentral describes it as "partial 16S ribosomal RNA". It matches the Rfam family "Bacterial small subunit ribosomal RNA", at positions 524 to 776 of the family's 1533-position model. The record is from RNAcentral.